GAUGAACGCUGGCGGCGUGCCUAAUACAUGCAAGUCGAGCGAACGGACGAGAAGCUUGCUUCUCUGAUGUUAGCGGCGGACGGGUGAGUAACACGUGGAUAACCUACCUAUAAGACUGGGAUAACUUCGGGAAACCGUAGCUAAUACCGGAUAAUAUUUUGAACCGCAUGGUUCAAAAGUGAAAGACGGUCUUGCUGUCACUUAUAGAUGGAUCCGCGCUGCAUUAGCUAGUUGGUAAGGUAACGGCUUACCAAGGCAACGAUGCAUAGCCGACCUGAGAGGAUGAUCGGCCACACUGGAACUGAGACACGGUCCAGACUCCUACGGGAGGCAGCAUUAGGUAAUCUUCCGCAAGGGGCGAAAGCCUGACGGAGCAACGCCGCGUGAGUGAUGAAGGUCUGCGGAUCGUAAAACUCUGUUAUUAGGGAAGAACAUAUGUGUAAGUAACUGUGCACAUCUGGACGUGACCUAAUCAGAAAGCCACGGCUAACUACGU
This 496-nucleotide ribosomal RNA is filed under the name uncultured bacterium. RNAcentral describes it as "partial 16S ribosomal RNA". It matches the Rfam family "Bacterial small subunit ribosomal RNA", at positions 28 to 506 of the family's 1533-position model. The record is from RNAcentral.